GGGGAUUUAGCUUAGCGGUAUAAGUACCUGCUUGCAAGCAGGCGGUCGUGAGUUCAAUCCCCG
Molecule: transfer RNA, 63 nt
Filed under: Cavia porcellus (domestic guinea pig)
Lineage: Eukaryota; Metazoa; Chordata; Mammalia; Rodentia; Caviidae
Rfam family: tRNA
About the family: Transfer RNA (tRNA) molecules are approximately 80 nucleotides in length. Their secondary structure includes four short double-helical elements and three loops (D, anti-codon, and T loops). Further hydrogen bonds mediate the characteristic L-shaped molecular structure. tRNAs have two regions of fundamental functional importance: the anti-codon, which is responsible for specific mRNA codon recognition, and the 3' end, to which the tRNAs corresponding amino acid is attached (by aminoacyl-tRNA synthetases). tRNAs cope with the degeneracy of the genetic code in two manners: having more than one tRNA (with a specific anti-codon) for a particular amino acid; and 'wobble' base-pairing, i.e. permitting non-standard base-pairing at the 3rd anti-codon position.
Source: Rfam by way of RNAcentral